This 35-nucleotide non-coding RNA is filed under the name Mus musculus (house mouse). Lineage: Eukaryota; Metazoa; Chordata; Mammalia; Rodentia; Muridae. The record is from RNAcentral.
AUUGAGAAAAAAACCUAGAUUAGGGGUACAGGUAA